This 457-nucleotide ribosomal RNA is filed under the name uncultured bacterium. RNAcentral describes it as "bacterial SSU rRNA". It matches the Rfam family "Bacterial small subunit ribosomal RNA", at positions 29 to 517 of the family's 1533-position model. The record is from RNAcentral.
AACGAACGCUGGCGGCAGGCUUAACACAUGCAAGUCGAACGCUCGACCUUCGGGUCGGGAGUGGCAGACGGGUGAGUAACGCGUGGGAACGUACCCUUCGGUUCGGAGUAACCCAGGGAAACUUGGGCUAAUACCGGAUACGUCCUGGCCUGGAGACAGGGUGGGAGAAAGGUUUACUGCCGAAGGAUCGGCCCGCGUCGGAUUAGCUAGUUGGUGGGGUAACGGCCCACCAAGGCGACGAUCCGUAGCUGGUCUGAGAGGAUGAUCAGCCACACUGGGACUGAGACACGGCCCAGACUCCUACGGGAGGCAGCAGUGGGGAUAUUGGACAAUGGGCGAAGCCUGAUCCAGCCAUGCCGCGUGAGUGAAGAAGGCCUUAGGGUUGUAAAGCUCUUUCAGCGGGGACGAUAAUGACGGUACCCGCAGAAGAAGUCCCGGCUAACUUCGUGCCAGCCCG